This is a long non-coding RNA of Strigops habroptila (Kakapo), 1202 nucleotides long. RefSeq lists it as uncharacterized. Lineage: Eukaryota; Metazoa; Chordata; Aves; Psittaciformes; Psittacidae. The transcript has 3 exons. The record is from RefSeq and is a predicted model, not a curated record.
AAUAACUCUACCAUGUUAAGUAUCAAUCCUAUACAUUUUAAUGAUACAUCUGUGCAGGACUGAAUCCAUUAAUUUAAUAUAUCUCGCCAAGGUUCUAAUUAUGCACCGACAGUCGACUAUUUGGAUCAGUUAAGUGAAUUUUCAUUGAGUGUAUUAUAUCUGAUGUGGCAUGGGGCCGUGUUUCAUUUGACGACACGUACUUUUUUAGGGGCGCAGGACCUUGGCGCUUUUUUCCUCCCACCGGCCACCCGCCGCCAGGCCCCGUCGCCUCCGUGCGCCCGUCCGUCCUGAGCGCUUCUCAUCAGCCCUGAUUUAUGAGCCUUGUUAAACACCCAUUAUUACUUUGCACCUUUUUUCCAGCAGGGUCUGGGAAACAACCCCACUUUGUGACAACAGGGCAUGUGUCAAACAAUUAUAGGCGGAGAGGUGAUGUAGCUCUGGAGCACCAGAUUCCCCCCUCCUCCCCUUCACGUCCAAUCGAGGAACAUUUCUGUUAAAAACAAGCAGUCUGUGGGCACAGCGAGCCCACCGCGAUCAGGGCUCCCAUCCACCUCGUCCCUUCGCCUCCCCGCAGCGAGCCCCCCGCCGCCGACGACUAGCGUAAAUACACCAGGUCCUGAACUCAAGAGUAGCCUCGGGUGUGUUAGAGCGAGAAUGGCCUAUUGACUUCAGAAAACCUCAGACCUCACAAUUAUAUUAAAAAUGUUUAAGAUAUUCAAAGCUGAGACUGCAGUCAUUUUCAGAACCUACAGCAAACUUGUCACAAUAUCUCAUUGUUCAGAGGCACAUAAAUAAGUUUGUCUCCUCUACCAUGUGUCUUUUGCACACGGGAUUAUUAGAAUCCACUGGCAACUCCAUUGAAAUAUUUGUAAUGGCUUUAAGAUAUUAUGGGAGUUAUAGAUCUGUAGGACUGGCAUUUUAAUUCUUGAGGGCCCGUGCUUGUCUUGAAGUUAUGAGUGCAGCUGUCACAGCACAUUUACAUAAUGUAGUUUACUCCAUUAAUUCUGGUAACCAAGUACAUAUAUUAACAGACCAUAUUUGUCUGCGUGUUUUUAUUCUUACCUCCUUUGGAAGAUGUAUGCAUUUCCACUGUAUUAUUACUGAUAAAGUACAGCUGUUUAAUUUCAAUCAUGUAGUUAUGGUAGGACAAACUAUUAAAUAAAUAUUAGACUGGAAGUUGUUGAAUUAAAAUUCCUCACAAA